RNAcentral lists this ribosomal RNA (653 nucleotides) under marine bacterium AK13_014. RNAcentral's name for it is "bacterial SSU rRNA". It matches the Rfam family "Bacterial small subunit ribosomal RNA", at positions 64 to 706 of the family's 1533-position model. The record is from RNAcentral.
GAGUUGUCUGAACCUUCGGGGGACGAUAACGGCGUCGAGCGGCGGACGGGUGAGUAAUGCCUGGGAAAUUGCCCUGAUGUGGGGGAUAACCAUUGGAAACGAUGGCUAAUACCGCAUAAUAGCUUCGGCUCAAAGAGGGGGACCUUCGGGCCUCUCGCGUCAGGAUAUGCCCAGGUGGGAUUAGCUAGUUGGUGAGGUAAGGGCUCACCAAGGCGACGAUCCCUAGCUGGUCUGAGAGGAUGAUCAGCCACACUGGAACUGAGACACGGUCCAGACUCCUACGGGAGGCAGCAGUGGGGAAUAUUGCACAAUGGGCGCAAGCCUGAUGCAGCCAUGCCGCGUGUAUGAAGAAGGCCUUCGGGUUGUAAAGUACUUUCAGCAGUGAGGAAGAUGGUGUACUUAAUACGUGCAUCAUUUGACGUUAGCUGCAGAAGAAGCACCGGCUAACUCCGUGCCAGCAGCCGCGGUAAUACGGAGGGUGCGAGCGUUAAUCGGAAUUACUGGGCGUAAAGCGCAUGCAGGUGGUUUGUUAAGUCAGAUGUGAAAGCCCGGGGCUCAACCUCGGAAUUGCAUUUGAAACUGGCAGACUAGAGUACUGUAGAGGGGGGUAGAAUUUCAGGUGUAGCGGUGAAAUGCGUAGAGAUCUGAAGGAA